ACCUCAUGCUCCUUGGAGCGGCCGAUAUCUGAUUAGCUAGUUGGUAGGGUAAAAGCCUACCAAGGCAUCGAUCAGUAGCUGGUCUGAGAGGACGACCAGCCACACUGGAACUGAGACACGGUCCAGACUCCUACGGGAGGCAGCAGUGGGGAAUUUUGGACAAUGGGCGCAAGCCUGAUCCAGCAAUGCCGCGUGAGUGAAGAAGGCCUUCGGGUUGUAAAGCUCUUUUGUCAGGGAAGAAACGAUAUCCUCUAAUACAGGGUGUUAAUGACGGUACCUGAAGAAUAAGCACCGGCUAACUACGUGCCAGCAGCCGCGGUAAUACGUAGGGUGCAAGCGUUAAUCGGAAUUACUGGGCGUAAAGCGUGCGCAGGCGGUUUUGUAAGACUGUCGUGAAAUCCCCGGGCUCAACCUGGGAAUGGCGAUGGUGACUGCAAGGCUAGAGUUUGGCAGAGGGGGGUAGAAUUCCACGUGUAGCAGUGAAAUGCGUAGAUAUGUGGGGGAACACCGAUGGCGAAGGCAGCCCCCUGGGUCAAAACUGACGCUCAUGCACGAAAGCGUGGG
RNAcentral lists this ribosomal RNA (564 nucleotides) under Duganella sp. A24MTE1. RNAcentral describes it as "bacterial SSU rRNA". It matches the Rfam family "Bacterial small subunit ribosomal RNA", at positions 208 to 765 of the family's 1533-position model. Lineage: Bacteria; Pseudomonadati; Pseudomonadota; Betaproteobacteria; Burkholderiales; Oxalobacteraceae. The record is from RNAcentral.